ACGCAGCUCAGAGACGUUAGAGCAAGACCCAAGACUCUCCAACAACAACAACUAUAAAAAGUCGUUUCCUUUGCCUGUUCCUCGCUCUGCUCUCUUAACCCAUUUCUUCUUUUUCUCAAAACCCUGCUCCCUCCCAUAAAGAAUUUUGAAGAAACCCAUUUCUUAACCUUUGAAAGACCUCUCAAAAUUAAGUCUUGAUUAUUGGGAAUUGCAAUGGAAUAGAAAAAAUCGCAUCUUUCAUGUGAUUCUUCUUGUUAUGGAAUAUGAAGUUUCAGACAGUAGUGGUACUGAUGAUGAUCUCCCGCCCUCAAAUCAAAAUAGACUUGUAAGACGAGGAAGAGCUCCAGGAAGUGGGCAAUCUGCUGUAAUUUCUGCAACAUAUUCUAGAGUGCAAGCUGACAUGGAGGCCCAAAUUCAUCACCUCGAACAAGAAGCAUAUAGGGCUGUACUUCGUGCUUUUAAGGCUCAGUCUGAUCAACUUUCUUGGGAUAAGGAGGGUUUGAUUACAGAACUUAGGAAAGAGCUCAGGGUGUCAGAUGAUGAACACAGAGAGAUCUUAACAUUGGUCAAUAGAGACGAUAUCAUUCAAAGGAUAAGGGAGUGGAGAGAGGCAGGUGGCCAGCAAGUUCCCAGGUUGAUUGCUUCACAGUCUGUUCAUGAUGUUUUGUCCAGUCCCACUGUUUCUGCAUCCCGUAAAAAACAGAAGACUUCCCUGGUGUACCCCACUGGUCCUCCCAGAAAUCAACAUUUCAACAACCAUGGUUCCGCCUAUGAUGAUAAGGAAAUUGGAAAAGAAGUGUGGACAAGAUGGCCUGAGGACAACAACUUCUACAAGGCUGUUAUAACUAGAUAUAACCCUGCUGAGGCUCGACAUGCUCUGGUCUAUGAUAUGAAUACUGAAAAUGAGACAUGGGAAUGGGUUGAUCUCAAUGAGAUGGCUCCAGAGGACCUUCGUUGGGAAGUUGAAGAUCCUGGAAUUUCUCAUGGCAGGCCAGGCCAUGUAAUGAAAAAAUCUAUGAGCCAUGGUGGUCUUAUUUCAAGUUCUGUAAGAGGGAGGGGAUCCACUAAGGAUCAAUCAAAAAGGGAAUUUUUUCGAACACAGAAUGGUAUUGCAAGGAAACUUUCUGACAAUAUUGAAUUACUCAACACAGAGUCCCUAGUUAAGGAGGUGGAGAGGGUUUUUGGUGUCAGCUAUCCUGAUCCUCUUGAGCUUGAGAAGGCAAAAAAAAUGUUAAAAGAGCAUGAACAAGCACUUGUUGAUGCAAUUGCAAGGCUCGCAGAUGCAUCUGACGGGGAAAGUGAUGGAGAUCCACGAUUCUUGCAUGGGCAAGCAAUGGAGGAGCAGGAAUGAGGUCGAUGAAACCAGCUAACGUUGGAAGCUCGUACUGGCCAGCAAACAAGCUAUCAUCCAUAUAAUUUGCCCACUAUUUAACCAUCGUGUUUCUUUGAUUGACCUCUCAAUAAAGAUCUCCCCUAAAAGAGUUUAAAGCCCUGGAGAUUACAAUCCGGAGGAAUGGAAUGGCAGGAUUUAUGGAGGCAACAGCAAUGGCGCUUCAGCUGUCAUUGCUUGAAUUGAAAAACUCAAGACUCGUUGUAGAAGGGGAACUGCCUCAUAAUUUCCAGCAAACAUUUAGAAAGAUAAUUAAGAGUUCUGGCCAGUUUAUCCAUAUAGAUAAUUGUUGAUAACUGCUCAUAAUCGCCGGAACUUCCUUGGUCUGUCUCUCUCGGGCCAAUCUGCCAAUACCUCUACUGCCAGAAUUGAAGUGUUUUUGCACAACUUGGACAAUCCAUCACCCAAGUUCAUAUUCACGGCAGCACACUGGUCGCGUGAAUAAUUGCACAAUGCCUGCUGAUUUCGUCACCGUUGACAGGGGCUGCCGCUGCUCAUGGCAUCUUCCUAGUAGUAUGCUUUCACUGUGCACCCCUAGUGCAUUGACCCUCUAACAAAUCUCCCCACCAGAUGAGUUGAAUGCCCUCGUUGGAUCAAACUUAAGGUACCCCUGCCUGCACCUUCUCUUCCAGCUAUCACAAGUAUGUGUUUCCUCGCACAUUAACAUCCUGGUUCAGCACCUAUUCAACUAGAACUCAAUCCGUUGAUUGUACUAAGAGGAAGGAACUUGACGAUCCCGUUGUCAACUUAUUUUGAACCAUUAUAGAGGCAUGUUGUGACUUCGCUCCUUUUUAGGGCCUUGCUCGUCUCCUAUAAUCUCCCUGGAAUGAAAAAGUUGUAAAGCUCCCUUGCUACUUAUGCCAUGCCAUGUCUCUAGAAAUUUGUAUGCAACACCCCCCCUAGUUAUACACAAAGUUGUGUUCAUCCUCUUGGCAAUCCCUCUUGCCAAAAUCCACCCGCACGCAAGUAUGUUUCCAUAAAGCUGGACACUCCUCUUGCGUUCCCAGAGGGUUCAUCCCCUUCUUUGUAAAUAAAACUUAUUAAGCCAAUAUCUAGGAUUUAAUAGGUUAUGAAUUUGAGAUUUUUGCUCGGGUUUCGAA
Molecule: RNA transcript, 2490 nt
Organism: Populus trichocarpa (black cottonwood)
Lineage: Eukaryota; Viridiplantae; Streptophyta; Magnoliopsida; Malpighiales; Salicaceae
Gene name: protein EMSY-LIKE 1
Exons: 12
Source: RefSeq, a predicted model, not a curated record